GAGUUUGAUCAUGGCUCAGGACGAACGCUGGCGGCGUGCUUAACACAUGCAAGUCGAACGUGAUUUUUGUGGAAAUUCUUUCGGGAAUGGAAGCGAAAUGAAAGUGGCGAACGGGUGAGUAACACGUGAGCAACCUACCUUACACAGGGGGAUAGCCGUUGGAAACGACGAUUAAUAUCGCAUGAGACCACAGUAUCGCAUGGUAUAGGGGUCAAAGAUUUAUCGGUGUAAGAUGGGCUCGCGUCUGAUUAGCUAGUUGGAAGGGUAAAGGCCUACCAAGGCGACGAUCAGUAGCCGGUCUGAGAGGAUGAACGGCCACAUUGGAACUGAGACACGGUCCAAACUCCUACGGGAGGCAGCAGUGGGGAAUAUUGCACAAUGGGGGGAACCCUGAUGCAGCGACGCCGCGUGAGCGAAGAAGGUUUUCGAAUCGUAAAGCUCUGUCCUAUGAGAAGAUAAUGACGUUCUAGGNGCC
This 475-nucleotide ribosomal RNA is filed under the name Parvimonas sp. canine oral taxon 102. RNAcentral describes it as "bacterial SSU rRNA". It matches the Rfam family "Bacterial small subunit ribosomal RNA", at positions 9 to 467 of the family's 1533-position model. Lineage: Bacteria; Bacillati; Bacillota; Tissierellia; Tissierellales; Peptoniphilaceae. The record is from RNAcentral.